This is a long non-coding RNA of Rhagoletis pomonella (apple maggot), 585 nucleotides long. RefSeq lists it as uncharacterized. The transcript has 2 exons. The record is from RefSeq and is a predicted model, not a curated record. NCBI's taxonomy places the organism in Eukaryota, Metazoa, Arthropoda, Insecta, Diptera, Tephritidae.
GUGAAACCAGCUCGAACGGUUCUUGGUUUUAAGUACACGUACUCAACGUGUAUCUACGUAUGUACAUACAUAUAUUGGUUGUACGUAUGUGCGGCUUAGUUCCAUCGCUACGAAUUUGCCUAUCUUUUGGAUCCUUUUUAUUGACUUUUCGGCAGAAUAAAGUUAAUAACACGGAAAUUACGUGGUUCUACUUACAUAUUUUAUGAAAACGGCGCAAAAAUUUUGUGCAUGCGAGAUUUCAUCAAUGUAAUAGUACGUUUUCUUAAUUUUGUGUGUAAAAAAUAUACCUUCAAUUAAAAAAAUAUGUGUACAUAAAAAGCAGUGAAUAGACGAAGAAGAGUAACACAAAAAAAAAUUAUCAAGUCAAAAAGGUUUGUGUAUACACAUGCAGUGAAUGCGACAGCGGUUUGUAUGUACGUGUGCACAAGUGAGAAGGGAGAUAUAAUUCGGGCCAACUGGCUCAUGGUGCAACAGCAAAAAAGAAAGAAGCCAUCAGAAAAGCUUUUGUAAAAACAGUAGUAGAAGUACCGAAGAAAUGGCGACAAAACGUAACACAUAGUGAAUAUUUUCGCUGAGUAAAUUUAA